Molecule: ribosomal RNA, 958 nt
Filed under: Ophidascaris sp. CYZ-2020
Lineage: Eukaryota; Metazoa; Nematoda; Chromadorea; Rhabditida; Anisakidae
Description: large subunit ribosomal RNA
Source: RNAcentral
UAUUUUUGUGUUGGUUAUUUUUUGGUAUUGCAUACCUUUAUGAGAUUAUUGUGUUUUUAUGCAUAAUAGAGUUAAAAAGUAGAAGAAUUGUUGGUUACGUUGUUGCACAACGUAUGUUAUUUUUCUUGGUGUUGAUACGUCGAUUUUUUGGUUAUCUGUUUUUUUUUGUUUUAUUGGAAAACUGUAUUUUUAUUUUUGAUAAUAGAGAGAUUAGAUUUUGUAGUGUUUCUUGUUUUAUGUUUUAUAACAUUUCUUUUUUAUUUUGUUAUUUGUUUUUGUGUUUUUAUCAAUUUUUUGAUAAUUGGAUAAUUUUUGAUUUAGUAGGUUUUUAAAUGUUUUUUUUUAUUUUAAUGUUGGUGAGUUAACUUGUUGUUUGGUCAAAUGUUUUUUAAAGACUUAGGUUUUUUGUUAAAGCUGGCCUCUGCCCUAUGUGUUGAUAAAUGGCAGUCUUAGCGUGAGGACAUUAAGGUAGCAAAAUAAUUUGUGCUUUUAAUGGGUUCUGGUAUGAAUGGGGGUUUGGCUGAUUUUUUACUUUUUUUUUUCUGAAUUAGUUGUGUGUUUAAAAAAUAAUGGGCGGUGUUUUACAAAGAUAAGUCUUCGGAAAUUUUUUUGUUUGAGGUUCUUUUGUUGUUUUGACAUGUUUUCUGGGGUAGAAUUUUUUGUAUUUUUUUUUUACUAUUGUUAAUUUAUUAAAUUACUUCGGAGUUAACAGAAAAACAUAUCUUAUUUAGUUCUUAUAAUAAUGAUAAGUUUUACAUCGAUGUUGUAUUUUAGUUUUGGGGGAGAGGAGAAGGUUCUUUUUUUUAGACUGUUCUUCUGUUAGUAAACUAAACGUGAUAUUAGUUUAAUUCAUCGUGAGAUAGAAUUGUUUAUCUUGUUAAUACUUUUUGAUUGGUGCCUGGUAGUACGAAAGGAAGUGUGUUGAGGUUUUAAAUCUUUUGAGGGGGUUCUUUUUUUG